UACGAAGGGUGCGAGCGUUGUUCGGAAUUACUGGGCGUAAAGCGUGCGCAGGCGGUUGUGUAAGACAGAUGUGAAAUCCCCGGGCUCAACCUGGGAACUGCAUUUGUGACUGCACAGCUGGAGUGCGGCAGAGGGGGAUGGAAUUCCGCGUGUAGCAGUGAAAUGCGUAGAUAUGCGGAGGAACACCGAUGGCGAAGGCAAUCCCCUGGGCCUGCACUGACGCUCAUGCACGAAAGCGUGGGGAGCAAACAGG
RNAcentral lists this ribosomal RNA (253 nucleotides) under uncultured bacterium. RNAcentral describes it as "partial 16S ribosomal RNA". It matches the Rfam family "Bacterial small subunit ribosomal RNA", at positions 524 to 776 of the family's 1533-position model. The record is from RNAcentral.